UCAUGAACAACGCAAAAUAACAACAUUCUUCUCAAAAAGCGUUCCUACGAGGACAAUGUCCAAGGAAGUACGGAAAUCGUCAUAGAGAAUGGAGACCAAGUUCAGCUUGACUGAACAGGUUCGAUCUUGGGUGCAGUACCUGCCUGGCCUUCUGGUUCAUGUGGUAGGAAUUGCAAUGAUUGAUUCUACAA
Molecule: small RNA, 191 nt
Filed under: Penicillium oxalicum 114-2
Lineage: Eukaryota; Fungi; Ascomycota; Eurotiomycetes; Eurotiales; Aspergillaceae
Description: A. fumigatus sRNA Afu_182
Rfam family: A. fumigatus sRNA Afu_182
Source: Rfam by way of RNAcentral